Stegodyphus dumicola is the source of this 243-nucleotide long non-coding RNA. The record is from RefSeq and is a predicted model, not a curated record. NCBI's taxonomy places the organism in Eukaryota, Metazoa, Arthropoda, Arachnida, Araneae, Eresidae.
AAUAUGCUGCUUUGUUACAUGGAAGAAAAUCCCAUUUUUUUUAGAGGAAAGUUGACUCAGGACUUCACAGCUAAGAAUAAAAGAGAGAUGAGGGACGUGAUUGCGUACAAUCUAAACGCACAAGGAGGAUGUACCAAAACAACAGAAAAAUGCAUAAGAACAUGGAUUGAUUGGAAAUGUUCCGUGAAAAAGAAGGCAGCCGAAAUAACAGUUUCACAAAAAAAAAAAAAAAAAAAAAAAAAA